UCAGGUGGCCGCAGAGAAUAGGCCCAAGCGACUGUUUACCAAAAACAUAGGUUUCUGCUAAGUCGCAAGACGAUGUAUAGGAGCUGACGCCUGCCCGGUGCUGGAAGGUUAAGGGGAUCUGUUAGAGUAAUCGAAGCAGUGAACUUAAGCCCCAGUAAACGGCGGCCGUAACUAUAACGGUCCUAAGGUAGCGAAAUUCCUUGUCGGGUAAGCUCCGACCCGCACGAAAGGCGUAACGAUUUGGGCACUGUCUCAACAACAGACUCGGUGAAAUUGUAAUUCCGGUGAAGAUGCCGGAUACCUGCGACAGGACGGAAAGACCCCAUGGAGCUUUACUGUAGCUUGACAUUGGGUCUUGGUACUACAUGUACAGGAUAGGUGGGAGGCUUUGAAACCAGGACGCCAGUUUUGGCGGAGCCAUCCUUGGGAUACCACCCUU
This 439-nucleotide ribosomal RNA is filed under the name Clostridioides difficile. RNAcentral describes it as "partial 23S ribosomal RNA". It matches the Rfam family "Bacterial large subunit ribosomal RNA", at positions 1769 to 2207 of the family's 2925-position model. The record is from RNAcentral. Lineage: Bacteria; Bacillati; Bacillota; Clostridia; Peptostreptococcales; Peptostreptococcaceae.